AUCGAUAAUCCACGUUAACUUUCACUUUAAUUUCAAAAUUUAUAUACCGCCAUCUUAAGAAUCAAUUUAAAAAUUUCUCUCUCAAUAAAUUAUAAAAAGUUAGGUCAAGGUGUAAUCUAUAUUAAAGAAAAGAUGAAUUACAUUAAAAAAAAUUUAAAGCAUGUAUCUAAAUAAAUAUACGUAAAUAAGAAUUUAAAAGUAAUAUAUAAAACAAUAAUUAUAUAUGAUAAAGACAAUAAAUGUGUACACAUCGCCC
This 256-nucleotide ribosomal RNA is filed under the name Pireneitega sp. ZZ482. RNAcentral describes it as "partial 12S ribosomal RNA". Lineage: Eukaryota; Metazoa; Arthropoda; Arachnida; Araneae; Agelenidae. The record is from RNAcentral.